This 496-nucleotide ribosomal RNA is filed under the name uncultured bacterium. RNAcentral describes it as "partial 16S ribosomal RNA". It matches the Rfam family "Bacterial small subunit ribosomal RNA", at positions 28 to 507 of the family's 1533-position model. The record is from RNAcentral.
GAUGAACGCUGGCGGCGUGCCUAAUACAUGCCAGUCGAGCGAACGGACGAGAAGCUUGCUUCUCUGAUGUUAGCGGCGGACGGGUGAGUAACACGUGGAUAACCUACCUAUAGACUGGGAUAACUUCGGGAAACCGGAGCUAAUACCGGAUAAUAUUUUGAACCGCAUGGUUCAAAAGUGAAAGACGGUCUUGCUGUCACUUAUAGAUGGAUCCGCGCUGCAUUAGCUAGUUGGUAAGGUAACGGCUUACCAAGGCAACGAUGCAUAGCCGACCUGAGAGGGUGAUCGGCCACACUGGAACUGGGACACGGUCCAGACUCCUACGGGAGGCAGCAGUAGGGAAUCUUCCGCAAUGGGCGAAAGCCUGACGGAGCAACGCCGCGUGAGUGAUGAAGGUCUUCGGAUCGUAAAACUCUGUUAUUAGGGAAGAACAUAUGUGUAAGUAACUGUGCACAUCUUGACGGUACCUAAUCAGAAAGCCACGGCUAACUACGUG